This 74-nucleotide transfer RNA is filed under the name Candidatus Yanofskyibacteriota bacterium. RNAcentral's name for it is "Candidatus Yanofskybacteria bacterium tRNA-Gly". It matches the Rfam family "tRNA". From Rfam's summary of the family: Transfer RNA (tRNA) molecules are approximately 80 nucleotides in length. Their secondary structure includes four short double-helical elements and three loops (D, anti-codon, and T loops). Further hydrogen bonds mediate the characteristic L-shaped molecular structure. tRNAs have two regions of fundamental functional importance: the anti-codon, which is responsible for specific mRNA codon recognition, and the 3' end, to which the tRNAs corresponding amino acid is attached (by aminoacyl-tRNA synthetases). tRNAs cope with the degeneracy of the genetic code in two manners: having more than one tRNA (with a specific anti-codon) for a particular amino acid; and 'wobble' base-pairing, i.e. permitting non-standard base-pairing at the 3rd anti-codon position. The record is from RNAcentral. Lineage: Bacteria; Candidatus Yanofskyibacteriota.
GCGGGUGUAUCACAAUGGUAGUGAACGGCGUUGCCAACGCUGGUACGAGGGUCCGAUUCCCUUCACCCGCUCCA